This is an RNA transcript of Paramacrobiotus metropolitanus, 3116 nucleotides long. It is a transcript of the gene named kelch-like protein 30, with no coding region annotated. The record is from RefSeq and is a predicted model, not a curated record. NCBI's taxonomy places the organism in Eukaryota, Metazoa, Tardigrada, Eutardigrada, Parachela, Macrobiotidae. The transcript has 3 exons.
UGUAACGGUUUGUUUAUAAGUUUGUCAUUUGCGUGAAAUCUCUACUUUCUUUGGAUUUGAUUUGAUGUGCCCACCGUAACACGUAGAAUAUGUGGAAAUUUGGCGCAAAUGCUGCUGGUGUUAAAUGUUAAUGAGUGUCCCGCGGGCGCCAUGGAAGUCCUGCGCGAACUGCACGCUCUGCAGUCGACAGGGACCCUGUGCGUUGUGGUGCUGAAAGGCGGCGAGGGAUCCGCGGCGGGCAUUACCUGCCAUCGCCUUAUCCUCAUGGCGCACAGUGCUUUCUUUCGGGCAGCGUUCAGUGGGCCGCAGCACUGGACAGAGUCAGCGCCGUCGGACGGUGUGUUCUCGCUGCCGCAGAUCGACAGCUGCACACUGAAGGAGCUGGUGCAGUAUGCCUACACGCUGGAGCUGCGUCUCAACGGGGACAACGUGCAGUCCUUCCUGAUUGCGGCGCAGUUUCUGCAGAUGACGCGGGUGGAGCGCUUGUGCUGGGAGUACGCGGAGCAGCAGAUGGCCACCGGCCUGUCCGACUGCCUGGCCCGGCUGGCCGUCCACGCUCUCGCUAAACCACACCACCACGGCACCACCCCCGUCUGGCCGCCGCCGCACUGGGCAUGAUUCGCCGCAACUUCCCACGCUGGGCGCCGAGCCAGGACUUUCUGGAAAUGGACGCGCAGCAGGUGGGUGCGCACAGGCUGACUUGACUGACUGUCGGCUUCUGAUGGAGGAUAAUGCAAUAGCUGCACGAUUGUGGACAGUACGAAGUACGUGUGGCCGUGAUCACUCUGUGAGCGGAGAAGCGGCUCACGUAAAGCGACAAAAUCUUUCAAAGGAUUUCAACGUAUUGCGCCGUGGUGCAGUGGUACUGCCUACGCGGAUCUUACGACGUAGCCGGGGUUCGAUUCCCCCAUCGGCGCCUUUUUCAGCCGUUUCUCGGUUUCCCUCGGAUUGCGCCCUGCUUAGAACUCGUUUGGUUGGCUGGCGCUUCACUUUAUUCAGCGUCAGGCGCCAGCGAUCAAUUAGUACAGCACCACAGUGGAACGAAUAAGGGCGUCUCACACUGAGCAGUUGGCAUGCAUAUUUGCAUUACGGGCUGGCGAAUGUUUGCAGUUGAUGGCUGUGAUGGCGUCGGAUGACGUGGAGGUGUGCAUUGAGGACGAGCUGCUGGAGGCGCUGCUGCGCUGGCUGGAUCACGACAGUCCCGCUCGCUUGGAGCACCUGCCCGCCCUUCUGCAGAUUGUCCGUGCCGCCUUUCUCAGCGAUCAGGCCCGCCAGGAAAACUCCCAAGCCCUCGCCAGCAGCGCUGCAGUGCCCCCGGGGCUGGGCCAGGGCGCCAGCCAGUUACCCGCCGGGAACUUGCUCAACUCGGCAGCACGCCCGUCCUACGCGCAGGAAGUGAUCCUUUGCUGGGCUAGUGGCAAGUACCGCGGCAGCGUGAACGCUUUCUGACCCUCGACAACGGCCGUGUGGCGCCUGAAUCGUCUGCCCGUGCCCACGCCCAAAGACUGCCAGCACGUCGUGCUGUUGGACGCCAGCACGAUCAUGCUUGUCCACAGCGCUGGCCGCCAUCGACUCCAGCGAGACCGUGGCUACCUGGGCCUGCGAGACAAUGGCGCGAGGUGGCCCCCAUGCUGACGCAGCGCGGGGAAGAAAGCCUGGCCGCGCUGAACGGUCGUGUUUAUGCCGCUGGGGACUACUCUCUGCUGGUUGCAGAAGGCGACCCGCUGACGUCCGUGGAGGCCUACGAUCCCCUCUGCAAUGCCUGGAGCGCCGUGGCCCCCCUCCCUCUGGGUCUGUCCGGCGCGGUGAUGGUGGCCUGUGGCGGUCGGUUGUUUCUGUUUGGCGGUGGUAGCCCGGAAGAGCGUGGCUGUUCUUUCUCGUACGACCCCGCAACCGACACCUGGACCAAACUGCACGACAUGCCGACCAGACACUGGUCCUUCGACCCUCCUGUUGCCUGCGCAGCUCCCAACGGGUUGAUCUUUGUUCUGGGUGCGCACUGCGGAAUUCGUAACUAGUGACAAGUACAACAGAAUAGCCAAAUGGUCUCUUGUAGAAAUUGUGGUUUAGGUACUUCUGGAGGAUCUGUUUUGGGUGCGCGUCGAUGCGUAUGACUGCGCCAGCGAUCGGUGGAUGCGAAAGGGUCAGUGUGAUACCAUCCUUUCCAGUGCUGAUUGGCGUACUGCCGGUCCGUCGAUGCGUGACGGUGGAUGUUGUAUUGUAUUGAACGAACGGCAUAAUCUGGUAUUAUGUCCGCUCGGGACAGCAGCAAACGACCAAAUAAACACUAGACAUGGCAACCAUAACGGGCAACAACAAUACCGCUGCUACGGCACAUGAGCCAUAGGCCAUUUUCCAUUUCACGAGAUACUCGUACAGCCUUUGUACGAGUACUUACACAGUUACACUACAGAUGUACAUGUACCGCUGGGUGCUGUUCUGUAUCGCUGGGUGCUUUACAGCUAACCUGACCAGAAGCCGCACUUCUCCCGGUCUCGCAUGCGUGGGUGGGGAAGUGUAUGUCAUUGGUGGGGAUGAAGAAGGAGUGGGGCGGCAGCGGGCCAGCAGCAUCGAAGUGUACGACGAAGAGACGGACAGCUGGUCGCUGAUGGCGUGUCGACUGCCCAAGACCGGCCCGUAUGCCGACUGCCGGCCCUUGUCAUCUGGCGGUGUCGUGAUGAAGUUGAAACGCCCCGCGGUGAUGUGACGCAGGAGAGCGGCUAGGCCGUCAUUGCCGCGUGGCAGUUAACAAUGAUCUCAUCUCCCUGGCCUGGGGGAAUUGCGUUGGGAUGUUUUAAUUUUUCUGAAAGAUAGUUCUUACGGUCGGCUGUAAACUGUGAAAUUUAGUUCCUGCACAAUGGUUCAUACAGACUGAUACAGUAUUUAGGAAGCACAUACAGUGCGCUGAGCUGGUUUCUGUACAAAGUUGGACAAAAAGGUGUGAAACGGUGUAAAUCACGUGGCAUAACGAUCAGCGACAUACUUCGACACGACGUGAUAUUCAAACUUUAAAGUAGUCGUACGUGUACGAGUAUUAUACAUAAGAUAAUUAUAACGUUUAAAUUUCUAUCAUUUUAAGUAGUACUACGCGAAUGCACUUUUUGUUACAUUGAUGG